GGGUUGUGAGGUUAAGCGACUAAGCGUACACGGUGGAUGCCCUGGCAGUCAGAGGCGAUGAAGGACGUGCUAAUCUGCGAAAAGCGUCGGUAAGGUGAUAUGAACCGUUAUAGCCGGCGAUGUCCGAAUGGGGAAACCCAGUGCAAUUCGUUGCACUAUCGUUUGAUGAAUACAUAGUCAAACGAGGCGAACCGGGGGAACUGAAACAUCUAAGUACCCCGAGGAAAAGAAAUCAACCGAGAUUCCCCCAGUAGCGGCGAGCGAACGGGGAGCAGCCCGGAGUCUGAAUCAGCUUGUGUGUUAGUGGAAGCGUCUGGAAAGUCGCAGGGUACAGGGUGAUACUCCCGUACACUAAAACACACAGGUUGUGAACUCGAAGAGUAGGGCGGGACACGUGGUAUCCUGUCUGAAUAUGGGGGGACCAUCCUCCAAGGCUAAAUACUCCUGACUGACCGAUAGUGAACCAGUACCGUGAGGGAAAGGCGAAAAGAACCCCGGCGAGGGGAGUGAAAAAGAACCUGAAACCGUGUACGUACAAGCAGUAGGAGCCCACUAGUUGGGUGACUGCGUACCUUUUGUAUAAUGGGUCAGCGACUUAUAUUCUGUAGCAAGGUUAACCGUAUAGGGGAGCCGCAGGGAAACCGAGUCUUAACUGGGCGUUAAGUUGCAGGGUAUAGACCCGAAACCCGGUGAUCUAGCCAUGGGCAGGUUGAAGGUUGGGUAACACUAACUGGAGGACCGAACCGACUAAUGUUGAAAAAUUAGCGGAUGACUUGUGGCUGGGGGUGAAAGGCCAAUCAAACCGGGAGAUAGCUGGUUCUCCCCGAAAGCUAUUUAGGUAGCGCCUCGUGAACUCAUCUUCGGGGGUAGAGCACUGUUUCGGCUAGGGGGUCAUCCCGACUUACCAACCCGAUGCAAACUACGAAUACCGAAGAAUGUUAUCACGGGAGACACACGGCGGGUGCUAACGUCCGUCGUGAAGAGGGAAACAACCCAGACCGCCAGCUAAGGUCCCAAAGUCAUGGUUAAGUGGGAAACGAUGUGGGAAGGCCCAGACAGCCAGGAUGUUGGCUUAGAAGCAGCCAUCAUUUAAAGAAAGCGUAAUAGCUCACUGGUCGAGUCGGCCUGCGCGGAAGAUGUAACGGGGCUAAACCAUGCACCGAAGCUGCGGCAGCGACGCUUAUGCGUUGUUGGGUAGGGGAGCGUUCUGUAAGCCGUUGAAGGUGGCCUGUGAGGGUUGCUGGAGGUAUCAGAAGUGCGAAUGCUGACAUAAGUAACGAUAAUGCGGGUGAAAAACCCGCACGCCGGAAGACCAAGGGUUCCUGUCCAACGUUAAUCGGGGCAGGGUGAGUCGACCCCUAAGGCGAGGCCGAAAGGCGUAGUCGAUGGGAAACAGGUUAAUAUUCCUGUACUCGGUGUUACUGCGAAGGGGGGACGGAGAAGGCUAUGUUGGCCGGGCGACGGUUGUCCCGGUUUAAGCAUGUAGGCGGAUGUUCCAGGUAAAUCCGGAACGUCACUAACGCUGAGGUGUGAUGACGAGGCACUACGGUGCUGAAGUGACAAAUGCCCUGCUUCCAGGAAAAGCCUCUAAGCAUCAGGUAACAUCAAAUCGUACCCCAAACCGACACAGGUGGUCAGGUAGAGAAUACCAAGGCGCUUGAGAGAACUCGGGUGAAGGAACUAGGCAAAAUGGUGCCGUAACUUCGGGAGAAGGCACGCUGAUGGUAGGUGAAGUGACUUGCUCAUGGAGCUGAAAUCAGUCGAAGAUACCAGCUGGCUGCAACUGUUUAUUAAAAACACAGCACUGUGCAAACACGAAAGUGGACGUAUACGGUGUGACGCCUGCCCGGUGCCGGAAGGUUAAUUGAUGGGGUUAUCCGUAAGGAGAAGCUCUUGAUCGAAGCCCCGGUAAACGGCGGCCGUAACUAUAACGGUCCUAAGGUAGCGAAAUUCCUUGUCGGGUAAGUUCCGACCUGCACGAAUGGCGUAAUGAUGGCCAGGCUGUCUCCACCCGAGACUCAGUGAAAUUGAACUCGCUGUGAAGAUGCAGUGUACCCGCGGCAAGACGGAAAGACCCCGUGAACCUUUACUAUAGCUUGACACUGAACACUGGUCCUUGAUGUGUAGGAUAGGUGGGAGGCUUUGAAGUGUGGACGCCAGUCUGCAUGGAGCCAUCCUUGAAAUACCACCCUUUAAUGGCUGGUGUUCUAACGUGGGCCCCUAAUCGGGGUUGCGGACAGUGUCUGGUGGGUAGUUUGACUGGGGCGGUCUCCUCCUAAAGAGUAACGGAGGAGCACGAAGGUCAGCUAAUCCUGGUCGGACAUCAGGAGGUUAGUGCAAUGGCAUAAGCUGGCUUGACUGCGAGCGUGACGGCGCGAGCAGGUGCGAAAGCAGGUCAUAGUGAUCCGGUGGUUCUGAAUGGAAGGGCCAUCGCUCAACGGAUAAAAGGUACUCCGGGGAUAACAGGCUGAUACCGCCCAAGAGUUCAUAUCGACGGCGGUGUUUGGCACCUCGAUGUCGGCUCAUCACAUCCUGGGGCUGAAGUAGGUCCCAAGGGUAUGGCUGUUCGCCAUUUAAAGUGGUACGCGAGCUGGGUUUAGAACGUCGUGAGACAGUUCGGUCCCUAUCUGCCGUGGGCGCUGGAGAAUUGAGGGGGGCUGCUCCUAGUACGAGAGGACCGGAGUGGACGCAUCACUGGUGUUCGGGUUGUCAUGCCAAUGGCAUUGCCCGGUAGCUAAAUGCGGAAGAGAUAAGUGCUGAAAGCAUCUAAGCACGAAACUUGCCCCGAGAUGAGUUCUCCCUGACUCCCUGAGAGUCCUGAAGGAACGUUGAAGACGACGACGUUGAUAGGCCGGGUGUGUAAGCGCAGCGAUGCGUUGAGCUAACCGGUACUAAUGAACCGUGAGGCUUAACCUUACAACGCCGAAG
RNAcentral lists this ribosomal RNA (2928 nucleotides) under Klebsiella michiganensis. RNAcentral describes it as "23S ribosomal RNA". It matches the Rfam family "Bacterial large subunit ribosomal RNA". Lineage: Bacteria; Pseudomonadati; Pseudomonadota; Gammaproteobacteria; Enterobacterales; Enterobacteriaceae. The record is from RNAcentral.